This 87-nucleotide transfer RNA is filed under the name compost metagenome. Its description in RNAcentral is "tRNA-Leu". It matches the Rfam family "tRNA". From Rfam's summary of the family: Transfer RNA (tRNA) molecules are approximately 80 nucleotides in length. The record is from RNAcentral.
GCGGGCGUGGUGGAAUUGGUAGACACAGCGGUCUCAAAAGCCGUGUCCUUAACAGGAAUGGGAGUUCGAUCCUCCCUGCCCGCACCA